RNAcentral lists this ribosomal RNA (253 nucleotides) under uncultured bacterium. RNAcentral's name for it is "partial 16S ribosomal RNA". It matches the Rfam family "Bacterial small subunit ribosomal RNA", at positions 524 to 776 of the family's 1533-position model. The record is from RNAcentral.
UACAGAGGUCUCAAGCGUUGUCCGGAUUCAUUGGGCGUAAAGGGUGCGUAGGUGGCGCCAUAAGUCAGGUGUGAAAUCUCGGGGCUCAACCCCGAAACUGCACUUGAUACUGUGGUGCUCGAGUACUGGAGAGGAGAUUGGAAUUUACGGUGUAGCAGUGAAAUGCGUAGAUAUCGUAAGGAAGACCAGUGGCGAAGGCGAAUCUCUGGACAGUUACUGACACUGAGGCACGAAGGCCAGGGGAGCAAACGGG